Molecule: ribosomal RNA, 489 nt
Filed under: uncultured bacterium
Lineage: Bacteria
Description: partial 16S ribosomal RNA
Rfam family: Bacterial small subunit ribosomal RNA
Source: RNAcentral
AUUGAACGCUGGCGGCAGGCCUAACACAUGCAAGUCGAACGGUAACAGGAAGCAGCUUACUGCUUCGCUGACGAGUGGCGGACGGGUGAGUAAUGUCUGGGAAACUGCCUGAUGGAGGGGGAUAACUACUGGAAACGGUAGCUAAUACCGCAUAACGUCGCAAGACCAAGAGGGGGACCUUAGGGCCUCUUGCCAUCGGAUGUGCCCAGAUGGGAUUAGCUAGUAGGUGGGGUAACGGCUCACCUAGGCGACGAUCCCUAGCUGGUCUGAGAGGAUGACCAGCCACACUGGAACUGAGACACGGUCCAGACUCCUACGGGAGGCAGCAGUGGGGAAUAUUGCACAAUGGGCGCAAGCCUGAUGCAGCCAUGCCGCGUGUAUGAAGAAGGCCUUCGGGUUGUAAAGUACUUUCAGCGGGGAGGAAGGGAGUAAAGUUAAUACCUUUGCUCAUUGACGUUACCCGCAGAAGAAGCGCCGGCUAACUCCGUG